Molecule: long non-coding RNA, 1227 nt
Organism: Cercocebus atys (sooty mangabey)
Lineage: Eukaryota; Metazoa; Chordata; Mammalia; Primates; Cercopithecidae
Exons: 3
Source: RefSeq, a predicted model, not a curated record
UAUAAUAAUGUUUGCCAUUAAUAUGUUCAUUUCAUUCAAGAAAUAUUUAUCGAAUAUGCUUUAUGUGCCAGCUACCAUUUUAGGUAAUGGAGAGAGCUCCCUGCCUACAUACAACUUAUAUUCCAGUCAGGAAAACAGCUAAGAAACAAGUAAGCCAAUAAACAAUUGUAGGCUGUGAAACUAUGAAGAUAGCAGAAUUAACUAAUGGGAUAGGAGUGAUGGGGGUGUAGUGCCUGAGACAGGGUGGCAAGACAGCAGCUUCUUUGGGGAUGUGACAGUUGCCCCAAUCGCUGAAAGAUGAUAAACCUAGCUGCAACAAAUAUCUCAGAACAUUCAUCUUAGAGUCCUUCUCUGACUCUUCCCUUACGACAAAUCCCGGAAGUGGAAAUGCCAGGCCAAAUUACCUGCUCACUGAGGCUCCAAAGGAAUGACCAUGAGGCUCUAACUCUCACAGCCUCCUGCAAGCCAUCCUGCUUCAAGUCCUCACUGUGCUGAUGGCUGCCUGUGUACGAGAGAGGGACAGUCUCUUAACCUCACUGUGCCUCAGUUUCCUCAUGUGAAAGAUGGGGAUAAGAAUAGUGCUUGACUCGAGGGUUGGUACCUCAGUUAUGAACCUGAAGAUGGGUGAGGAAAAUGUGUUACUUUUUCUCUCCUACGGCAUCUAGUUUUAGACCUCCCAUUUUGGAUGAUAUCAGAUCUUAAAGAUCUAGCGUCCACUUUCCUCUGAGCGCCGUGCUCUUCAAGUUGCUGAAUUCUUCAGGAAUCCAGGCUGGAGUGCAGUGUAGCCAGGAUGGUCUCGAUCUCCUGACCUCGUGAUCCGCCCGCCUUGGCCUCCCAAAGUGCUGGGAUUACAUGGACACGCGUUUCUAAAGGCUCCCCUCGUGACCCUGCUGGACUGCCAGGGUUAAAAAGCUGCUGCGCUGGUGCACACAUAAAUGCCUCACCUGCUGGAUAAGCAGUGCCAAGACACGGAGAAGAAAGGCCUGCCUGAGAAGAGGAACUCAGCAGCCCCUUGAGCACGUGCCACGAAUCCUCAAAGAGCAUUUCCCCAUCACACACAUCUCCACGAGGUAGCUCCAUUUUGCUAGGUGACAUUUCUACUUGCAAUGCUACUGGCGAAUACUAUGGCUGAAGCAAGCUGAAAUCAUGAUAACUUUUGCUCUUGGUUGGUGACCUAUGUUAUGACCCUUUUUUAAACAUUUUAUUUUAUUUUUGAGACAGGGUCUG